AGUUUAACAUCAAAAGAGAGCUUCUAGGUACACCUGUGUCACUGCCUUGUGUGGUACAUCCCAUGUCCAGAUGAAGCUGUACAAGAUACCCCACAAGGCCCUCCAAAGGAGCCCACCCGCGCUCGAAGGCAGGGGCUGGACUAACAGGCUGGAUGAUGCCGAUGGUGUCUUUCCUCAUCCUCACCUUCCGUCAAAACACACAGACCUCUCUAUCCCCAGCACACAACUUUUUCUCUGUCAGAAAUUCAUUGUGAUCCCAGGAGAGCAUAAUCCUGCAAAUUUUUCAUCACUUUCAUUUAUGGGAUCUGCUACAG
Long non-coding RNA from Columba livia (rock pigeon), 314 nucleotides. RefSeq lists it as uncharacterized. The transcript is spliced from 3 exons. Lineage: Eukaryota; Metazoa; Chordata; Aves; Columbiformes; Columbidae. The record is from RefSeq and is a predicted model, not a curated record.